This is a long non-coding RNA of Canis lupus familiaris (dog), 732 nucleotides long. RefSeq lists it as uncharacterized. Lineage: Eukaryota; Metazoa; Chordata; Mammalia; Carnivora; Canidae. The record is from RefSeq and is a predicted model, not a curated record. The transcript is spliced from 3 exons.
CAAUCAAAUGUACCCAUCCCCUGAGUGACGUACAUUUAGAGGGAGAGAGUCAUGCAGGUUCUCAGAGCGACGUGCUGGUGGCAAGGAGGCACAGCUGGCUCCGGAAGAGAAAGAAAUGAUCCCGAGCCGCCAGUGGGAGGGGCUGCCCCACAAAGGAGUGAGCUCCCUGUCUCUGGAAGGGUUCAAGCUGAGCUGGAUAACAACCUCAGUGUUCAAGGCCCUUUCUGAUGCUUGACUGUGUGAAAUCUGCCGGGGAGGCUGCUGGAAGAAUUCUAGCUCCGAAAGGAAAGCGCAGCCACAAUGUCGAGGGAUCGUCCAAAACCAGGGCUUCAGGAAGGAGACCCCAGCACCCAGCCCCAUACAGAGACAAGAGAGACGGGCGGCGGAGGCAGAGGGAGAGAGACUCUUAAGCAGACUCGACCCCCAGCAUGGAGCCCAGUGCAGGGCUCCGUCUCACAACCCUGGGAUCAUGACUUGAGCUGAAAUGAAGAGUUGGACGCUCCAGUGACUGCACCACCCAGGGCCCCACACGGCUGCAUUUUAACACUGUUCCCUAUCAGUUUUUCUUGCUCAUCAGUUUGCUCCUUGCACACCUCCCACACUCCUCCCAUGUGCACACACACUUGAUGAAGCUCUGUGAGAGCUGGGGUUCGCCACCACACCCCGGGCCUUAGGAGAGGCCCUGUGCAUAGUUAUCUCCCACGUGAAUAAAUGAACAAAUGAGUGAGUAAA